CACGUUUACAACUAUUAGAAUUUUAUUUGUUUUUCAUUCAUAGCUUACUUACAAUCGCACUAGAAUUCAACUCUAUUAGUGAUAUAGGAUUUGCAUCGACUAAAUGAUCUAUUGUCUGUCCCUUUGACGGUUCUUAUAAUAUUGUAUUUAAAUACAAAUUUUAAGUUAAUUAUAUAUUCUACGAAAGGUUCUAGAUUUGUAUCGUACUUGGUAUGAAAGAUAUUACUUUUCUACAUGAUAGUAUAAAGUUCCCUUGGGCAGGGAAGUAUUGCAAACUUCAUUGGAAAAGAAUGCAGUUUAAAGACAAACACAAAAAAACGUUACAUACAAAGAAGAAUUGAAAGGGACGAUGUGCAUAUAUGCACCUUUUCAAUACGUAUACUGUACUGAAAGCAAGAAGAGCUACAACAGUGAUGAUGAAAUAAACUAACACAGACUUCACAAUUAAACAUAUAAUUACAAAGGUCACAACCAGAGGCCGCGAAAGCAUUUCGAAAUUGGGGGAGGAGGUAUUGCCCAAAAAAGGGCACUUUUGUAUAUGACAAAAAUCAAACAUUUUAAUGUCAUUCACUACCCGAACGAACAUUUUUUAAAAUAUGGACUCUUUUAUUACGUCGGAAAUGGCCUUUACAAAGUCUUCACAUUUACAUUUCAAACUGAGGGCACUUCCUUUCCAGCAAAAGGCGUUCAUUCAGUAAAUGCUUUUUUCGUUCUUCAAAUGAGACACUUUAGCAUUUAAGUUGGGGGGGGGGCAAAUGCCCCUAUGGCCCCCUAUUGCUUCCCCCGUUCCGCGGCCCCUGAUCACAACAAGUAUUGACACACAAAACGUUCACAUCAAAUCACACGAAAACCAACAAAGCCUUUUUAUUUUUAAUACUAGCUACUUGGUCAUAUUUCGGACGGCGUACUUCAUAUAUGAACUGCGAAAAUUUAUAGCGUCUUCAUCAAUUUCGGCAAAUCAAAUUUCGACUAGAAAUACAUAUGCAUGCAGCAACCCUCGCUCUUUUUUGACAUAAC
This is a non-coding RNA of Paramuricea clavata, 1017 nucleotides long. The record is from the annotation of a GenBank genome assembly. NCBI's taxonomy places the organism in Eukaryota, Metazoa, Cnidaria, Anthozoa, Malacalcyonacea, Plexauridae.